This 306-nucleotide ribosomal RNA is filed under the name uncultured bacterium. RNAcentral's name for it is "bacterial SSU rRNA". It matches the Rfam family "Bacterial small subunit ribosomal RNA", at positions 28 to 334 of the family's 1533-position model. The record is from RNAcentral.
GACGAACGCUGGCGGCGUGCCUAACACAUGCAAGUCGAGCGAGUGGAGUUCUUCGGAACAAAGCUAGCGGCGGACGGGUGAGUAACGCGUGAGGAAUCUGCCUUGGAGUGGGGAAUAACACAGUGAAAAUUGUGCUAAUACCGCAUGAUGCAAUUGAGUCGCAUGGCUCUGAUUGCCAAAGAUUUAUCGCUCUGAGAUGACCUCGCGUCUGAUUAGCUAGUUGGUAGGGUAACGGCCUACCGAGGCGACGAUCAGUAGCCGGACUGAGAGGUUGGCCGGCCACAUUGGGACUGAGACACGGCCCAG